Arabidopsis lyrata subsp. lyrata is the source of this 1973-nucleotide long non-coding RNA. RefSeq lists it as uncharacterized. The record is from RefSeq and is a predicted model, not a curated record. NCBI's taxonomy places the organism in Eukaryota, Viridiplantae, Streptophyta, Magnoliopsida, Brassicales, Brassicaceae. The transcript is spliced from 4 exons.
GUUCAAAAGCAAAAGUGUCUACAAAAUAAAUCAAAAAUGAAAAAAGAUCUUGGACCCGUAUCCAAAAUUAGAUUUUUAAAACUUAUUUAGACACGCAUACGUGUCGUUUUCUCCUCUUUUUCUCGUUCUUUCUUCUUCUUCUCCGAUACAACCCAGAAUCACUCUGUAACUCACUUGUCGUUGCUCUUGUCGUAACCCUAGCUACCAAUAAAAUCCGUCGCGACGUCCAUAUCUCCCCUCCUUCUCCUCCUCCCACCACAUGUUAUCCCUUCCGCCUAUCUCACCUAUCCAUCUUCCCCCAACCUCGAUCCCCUUCUCAAAUACAGAAAUUUCAGAUCUACCAUAUCAUUCGACCUCUCUCAAUUCUGCUUCUCUUUUAAAUAUUAGGAUUUGGGAAGACGAAGAGGAACAUGUUUUGUUGAUAGUAAGGAAGAUAUGUGGUUGCAGGAGCAAAUGAUUUGAAAGGUGAAGAUGGGAAUACAAAUGUGGUGAUUAUAUUUCUUCUAGCCUAGGGAGUUAAAAAGUGACGUGAGGACAAGCUGAUGAUAUGGCUUCCAAUCUUUCUACCGUCUUCUCUAACUUGGAGCUACUUUGCUUCCUGUAACCAAGGUUUUAAGACAUUUGUUGUAUCUAAUGAGGAUUCAGAGAAGCCUAUCUAUUGACGGGUUUCUCUUGCUCAUCUCUGUUCGUUAGAGGAUCAGAGAACCAUAUUCAUAGAUGACAAAGGCACGUGAUUGGAAAGCCAUAGAAAACUUAUUAAUCUCAUUUGCCCAAUGUGAAGAUUCACUGAGUUUGUGUGUCAAGGUUUUUGAGUGUGUAAGUUUUGAGAGUGUGGAGUGUGUGUCAAGUUUUGAGAGUCAAAUGUAUCCCAAACACUUGUACCAAUUUUUUCAAAAAUUUAAAUUUUUAUAUCCUCAAAUGUAAUUUCACCAUUGGACUGUGUCUAAAUUGAAAAAUACUUUGAGUGUCUAAACUUUUGCUUUUGCAUUAAAACAAUUAGAAAUAUGGUUUUAGACCCAUGAGGGAGUCUAAACCAUUGGAGAUGCUCUUAGUGUUUCAUUAAGAUCUUAAACCAGUAAAGUUUUAAAAAAAUUUGUACUAAUAUGUUAGGUUAUUUGGCCAGAUUUUGGAAAAAGCCACAAAUUUUUUUGCUAAAUUUCAUAGUAAGUCAGAUCUAGACACAAAUAAACAUCCAUUACCACUUGCACCGAAAAAGUAAAAAACAAUCUGAAACAAUUUUUGCAAAUGUCAAAAGAGGGUUUAUAAAUUUAGUGGCAAUAUAGUUUGAUAUUUGAGUCAGCCCCUGCAGUGAAUAGCCAUGGUUGUCUCGGAUGAAACUUGCAGUCCAAGACUCAUGCAAUCAAAACCCAUAAUAUAUAUAUAUUAAUCUCCUGAAAAAUCAAAAUAUAUGACGAUGACGCAUAAUAGUGUGAUUUAAUACUUUGUAUAAAAGUUUAUGCCGGUUUCUAAUACUUUGACUUAAGAAUCUUUCUGAACUGACUAAUUCCUUGAAAACUGCUGCAGGUAGAUAACAUGGCAGGGCAAGGAUCAACGUCUCAAGCUCUGAGCUGCUAAUAUACCACAACUACAAGCCAACACUCUGUGCCAUCAAGAAAUAGAUGAAGGAUUCAAGAGAGGAUCGAUCUGCUAUGUGGGCAAUUUCCGGUUCGAUUUAACCGAAGUUGGUUUGAGAGACCUUUUCUCACCAUUCAGAGAGGUUAUUUCUUGUAAAGUCAAGAGAUUUCAAGACUCUAGGUUGAGUGGAGGGGACGGCUUUGUAGAGUUCGUCACUCCACAAGAGGCAUUGAACAUAUACUAAUGCAUGGAACAUAUGUAUGAGGGCACAUAUACUAAUGCUACAAUGUCUCUAUACAAGGAAUUCUUUAUUCUAUGACAAAAAAAUAUGUACCAGAGAUGCACCGACAUUCAGACUUGUGUGCGAGAUGAAAUCAAUGAAGAGAAAUGCUCUACAA